This 451-nucleotide ribosomal RNA is filed under the name uncultured bacterium. RNAcentral's name for it is "partial 16S ribosomal RNA". It matches the Rfam family "Bacterial small subunit ribosomal RNA", at positions 29 to 523 of the family's 1533-position model. The record is from RNAcentral.
AACGAACGCUGGCGGCAGGCUUAACACAUGCAAGUCGAACGGGCGUAGCAAUACGUCAGUGGCAGACGGGUGAGUAACACGUGGGAAUAUCCCUUUCAGUUCGGAAUAACUCAGGGAAACUUGAGCUAAUACCGGAUACGUCCUUCGGGAGAAAGAUUUAUCGCUGGGAGAUUAGCCCGGGUCUGAUUAGCUAGUUGGUGAGGUAAUGGCUCACCAAGGCGACGAUCAGUAGCUGGUCUGAGAGGAUGAUCAGCCACACUGGGACUGAGACACGGCCCAGACUCCUACGGGAGGCAGCAGUGGGGAAUAUUGGACAAUGGGGGAAACCCUGAUCCAGCCAUGCCGCGUGAGUGAUGAAGGCCUUAGGGUUGUAAAGCUCUUUUGCCAGGGAAGAUAAUGACUGUACCUGGAGAAUAAGCCCCGGCUAACUUCGUGCCAGCCGCCGCAGUAA